RNAcentral lists this long non-coding RNA (324 nucleotides) under Salvator merianae (Argentine black and white tegu). Its description in RNAcentral is "lncRNA (ENSSMRG00000001384.1)". Lineage: Eukaryota; Metazoa; Chordata; Lepidosauria; Squamata; Teiidae. The record is from RNAcentral.
CCUUUAUUCAGCACUGAACCUACAAAAGAUUUGGAGAAGAAGGAUUCAGAAGAUCAUAAAGCAUCACCUCCUUCUUUGCAUUCAGUUGGCUCCAAAGGACCCUAUAAUAAAAGCAAUCAAUUUGACCAGGAGCGAGUGUUAUCAUCCACACAAUCUUCAGUGCUUGAGAGGGGUGGUUCUGGGCUUCAUCAAAAAUCUGCUCUUCAGCAUCCACUUCCAGAUCGUUUGACAGGUCCAGGAAGACAAGGCCCUUUCUCCUCAAGAUCAGCAGCAGAUGAAGAUGAAAUUUGGAAACAGAGACGAAGACAGCAAGCAGAAAUAUCA